Molecule: long non-coding RNA, 575 nt
Filed under: Sarcophilus harrisii (Tasmanian devil)
Lineage: Eukaryota; Metazoa; Chordata; Mammalia; Dasyuromorphia; Dasyuridae
Description: lncRNA (ENSSHAG00000031279.1)
Source: RNAcentral
AGACAGUUCGUUUUGGGAAGUCUCAGGGGCUGGCUAAGCUGAGUACUCUUGUGUCCAGGAGCAAUCUCCUCCAGAGAGCUGGCUGGAAACUGGGACUUCUGGACUUGAGAUCUCUCUGCCUCCUGCAAGGCAGCUCUGUAGGUGUAGGUCCCAGGAAACCUUUAACUGUGGGGAAGAAGACAUUGAACUUCAACAAAUCAGAAGCAUCUUACCGUAGAAAAGAAAGGAGUUUUAAUUUGACAGAGCUCGGGAGAUUUGAGCAUCUCCCCACCACCUAAGGUGGUCUGGCAGUGAAGAGAGGUAAGAGAAUCUGCAGACAAGGAUUACAUAAAGGUCUGGGGUAACAUUCCCUAUAGGAUGGACCUUUGCCCUGAUUAGUCAGCACAAAUGACUUCACAUCCUAAGUUGUAAAUGAGGAAAAACUUCUAACCCAAUCAGGGUUUUAGGGGUAUUAAAUUAUGUUAUAUGGGAGUUUUAAUGCCGAGACAGCCCUAACUUGGUCCCACAAGAAAGGGGUUAUAUGAUCCCAUUCUUUGCAAAACUAGUGAUCUCUGGAGAAAGAAACUUGAGCCUGG